This is a long non-coding RNA of Diorhabda carinulata, 835 nucleotides long. RefSeq lists it as uncharacterized. NCBI's taxonomy places the organism in Eukaryota, Metazoa, Arthropoda, Insecta, Coleoptera, Chrysomelidae. The transcript is spliced from 3 exons. The record is from RefSeq and is a predicted model, not a curated record.
AGCGUUUUGGUUUUCGUGAUAUUUUUGUUGGUUAUUCGGUAUUUAUUGACGAUAUUAUGGAAAAUAACGAAAAGAAAACAAACAAACAAACAGAAAGAUAAAUAACCCCAACAUCACGAUCUAACGUCAUAUGUCAAAACCAUGUGACAUAUUGCUACGAACGGCCGACGAGGAAAGAUAAAAUUCGUUUAUGUUGAAAGUCACCGAUGGCAACGAUGAAUGGUCUUAUGUAUUUAAAUGUUUUUAACUUUGUAACAACAAAUGUCAACGGCAACGGAAAGUCAAGUUUAUGAAUCGUCCUUUUUAUUAUAUUGCAAUCAUAAACAAAUUUGAACAUUUCGUGAGCUUUUUUUGCAAUUUUUUCAAAUUGAAAUAAAAUUUAAUGUAAAUACAAGUUUCACGAUAGAAUUUGAAGAAAAAUUUAUUUACGUUCGAUAUAAAAAACAUACCCAAAAUUUGGACAAUUUUUUUGAGCAAGCCUACAAAUUAGCUCAGACUAGCAGGUCGGUUAAGUUAGGUCUACCUGGAAAAAUGUUAGUAGUGAAACAAAGGAAUUAGUAUGGAACUAAAGUACAUUCAAUUCUACCAUCAUGGGAAAUGGUUAUUCAGUGCAUCUGAAGAUUUUUAUUUAAUACGUAUAACAUUAUGUAGUUUGACAUGCUCUAUAGGUAACUAAAUGGAUAAAAGUUAAUAAAAUAGAGAAUAAUGGACACAGCUUUAUAAAAAAUUGCAUAUCAUGCACUACCUUUUUAUAUGUUGAUAAAAAAAUGUUAUUAUAUUUAUUAAACAAAUAAAUCUGUUCUAUAAACAUAAUAAUUGAAUAGAUAAGAAACCA